UACGUAGGGGGCAAGCGUUGUCCGGAUUUAUUGGGCGUAAAGAGCGUGUAGGCGGCCUUACAGGUCAGCUGUGAAAACUCGAGGCUCAACCUCGAGACGUCGGUUGAAACCGUAUGGCUAGAGUCCGGAAGAGGAGAGUGGAAUUCCUGGUGUAGCGGUGAAAUGCGCAGAUAUCAGGAAGAACACCCGUGGCGAAAGCGGCUCUCUGGGACGGUACUGACGCUGAGACGCGAAAGCGUGGGGAGCGAACAGG
This 253-nucleotide ribosomal RNA is filed under the name uncultured bacterium. RNAcentral describes it as "partial 16S ribosomal RNA". It matches the Rfam family "Bacterial small subunit ribosomal RNA", at positions 524 to 776 of the family's 1533-position model. The record is from RNAcentral.